GGCGGCGUAGCUCAGUCUGGUUAGAGCGCUCGACUCAUAAUCGAGAGGUCGGAAGUUCAAGUCUUCCCGUCGCUACUA
RNAcentral lists this transfer RNA (78 nucleotides) under Actinomycetota bacterium. Its description in RNAcentral is "tRNA-Met". It matches the Rfam family "tRNA". Rfam says of the family: Transfer RNA (tRNA) molecules are approximately 80 nucleotides in length. Their secondary structure includes four short double-helical elements and three loops (D, anti-codon, and T loops). Lineage: Bacteria; Bacillati; Actinomycetota. The record is from RNAcentral.